Molecule: long non-coding RNA, 973 nt
Organism: Oncorhynchus tshawytscha (Chinook salmon)
Lineage: Eukaryota; Metazoa; Chordata; Actinopteri; Salmoniformes; Salmonidae
Source: Ensembl
CUUUACCUGGCACAUUGCGAUCCAGCAACUCCUUGUGCCGGGCUGGGUGCCUGAAGGCUGACAUCAGUCGUCAGUUGAACUGUGUUUCCUCCGACACAUUUGUGCUGCUAGCUUCCGGGUUAAGUGAACGGGUGUUAAGAAGCGUGGCUUGACGGGUCAUGUUUCGUAUGAUGCAUGACUCGACCUUCGCCUCUCCAGAGCCCGUUGGGGAGUUGCAGCGGUGAGACAAGAUCGUAAUUGGAUAUCAAGAAAAAAUGAAAUCCUGCGACUAGUGAUGUCCAGCCGCCCAACAACCUGCCCACUUGAACCAAUCCCCUCCUCCCUUAUCUAGACCAUCUCUGGAGACCUCCCAUUCCUCAUCAACUCAUCCCUGACCACUGGCUGACUUCAAGAGAACCCAAGCCUUUACUCCUAUGAUGUCAACUACAGACCAUCAAGAUUCAAGGCGGCUCACUCAACUGACAUUGCGCUCCUCUGUCACAGAGGCUCUCCGCUCUGCCAAAGCAGACUCUCUCUCUCUCUUCUGUCCUCAUCCUCCUAAGUCUAUCCACUGCCUUUAACAAUGUGAACCAUCAGAUCCUCCUCUCCAACCUUUCAGGGUUGGGCAUCUCAGGCUCUGCACACGUCUUGAAUGCAUCCAACCUAGCAGGUCGCUCCUGAAUUGACUAAUUGUAAGUUGCUUUGGAUAAGAGUGUUUGCUACAUGACCAACAUGUUAAAAAAAAGUCAAGGUAUUGGAGUGGCCAUCACAAAGGCCUUACCUCAAUCCAAUAGAAAAUGUGUGGGAAGAAAUGAAAAAGCGUGUGCGAGCAAGGAGGCCUACACCAUCUCUGUCAGAGGAAUGGGCCAAAAUGCAUCCAACUUACUGUGGGAAGCUUGUGGGAGGCUACCUGAAACAUUUGACCUAAGUUAAACAAUUUAAAGACAAUGCUACCAAAUACUAAUUGAGUGUAUGUAAACUGACCCAUUGGGAA